This 456-nucleotide ribosomal RNA is filed under the name uncultured Thauera sp. Its description in RNAcentral is "bacterial SSU rRNA". It matches the Rfam family "Bacterial small subunit ribosomal RNA", at positions 925 to 1382 of the family's 1533-position model. Lineage: Bacteria; Pseudomonadati; Pseudomonadota; Betaproteobacteria; Rhodocyclales; Zoogloeaceae. The record is from RNAcentral.
ACAAGCGGUGGAUGAUGUGGAUUAAUUCGAUGCAACGCGAAAACCUUACCUACCCUUGACAUGUCUGGAACCUUGCUGAGAGGCGAGGGUGCCUUCGGGAGCCAGAACACAGGUGCUGCAUUGGCUGUCGUCAGCUCGUGUCGUGAGAUGUUGGGUUAAGUCCCGCAACGAGCGCAACCCUUGUCAUUAGUUGCCAUCAUUUAGUUGGGCACUCUAAUGAGACUGCCGGUGACAAACCGGAGGAAGGUGGGGAUGACGUCAAGUCCUCAUGGCCCUUAUGGGUAGGGCUUCACACGUCAUACAAUGGUCGGUACAGAGGGUUGCCAAGCCGCGAGGUGGAGCCAAUCCCUUAAAGCCGAUCGUAGUCCGGAUCGUAGUCUGCAACUCGACUACGUGAAGUCGGAAUCGCUAGUAAUCGCAGAUCAGCAUGCUGCGGUGAAUACGUUCCCGGGUCUU